This 496-nucleotide ribosomal RNA is filed under the name uncultured bacterium. RNAcentral's name for it is "partial 16S ribosomal RNA". It matches the Rfam family "Bacterial small subunit ribosomal RNA", at positions 28 to 507 of the family's 1533-position model. The record is from RNAcentral.
GAUGAACGCUGGCGGCGUGCCUAAUACAUGCAAGUCGAGCGAACAGACGAGGAGCUGCUCCUCUGACGUUAGCGGCGGACGGGUGAGUAACACGUGGAUAACCUACCUAUAAGACUGGGAUAACUUCGGGAAACCGGAGCUAAUACCGGAUAAUAUAUUGAACCACAUGGUUCAAUAGUGAAAGACGGUUUUGCUGUCACUUAUAGAUGGAUCCGCGCCGCAUUAGCUAGUUGGUAAGGUAACGGCUUACCAAGGCAACGAUGCGUAGCCGACCUGAGAGGGUGAUCGGCCACACUGGAACUGAGACACGGUCCAGGCUCCUACGGGAGGCAGCAGUAGGGAAUCUUCCGCAAUGGGCGAAAGCUUGACGGAGCAACGCCGCGUGAGUGAUGAAGGUCUUCGGAUCGUAAAACUCUGUUAUUAGGGAAGAACAAAUGUGUAAGUAACUAUGCACGUCUUGACGGUACCUAAUCAGAAAGCCACGGCUAACUACGUG